AAAAUACUGCAAAGUGUCGUAAAACAGUUAUCCAUGCAGCAGCUAGCGUACACGGUGCAAAGGGAUGGUGCUCUAAAAACACUCAUUUUCAAAUCGAACUUCAAAUUCAUGAAGAUUUUCCUCAAACAACUUGCAAGGCUAAAGCAUGGAGGACAUGGAAGACGACUGUUUUCUUCUAAAUGACGACUACAACCAUAACUACUGUGCGAACAGUGCCAGUGGACAAGUCCUCUAUCUCGGGAACGAACUGUCAGAUGUACCCCAACCCCGAUCUAUCUCGCCGGUUCUAGCCACGCGAGAUGUAGCUGCGCAGGAGAACCACUCAAAGGUUUGUUCCAGUUCCAGCAGCGGUUUAAAGUUCAUGGAUUCAGACUCGAGCAGCGUGAACAGUGACACCAGCGAGACUGACAGCCCAUCGUCGGCUUCCAUCGCAGGGAAACUGACCCUGAACUCAGCCUCAAAGUUUCGAAGCAGACAAGCGUUAAUGACUGUUAUGACCUUUGCACCCUAUGGUUGGAAGGUCCUUGUUUGGAAUCAGUGGUGUAGUGGUGCCUGGAGAAUAAUGAAUGCAAUGACCGAAGAGGACUAUAGAACCACAUACUGGCCGAACCUGGAGAAAGCCAUUGACCACCUGCUAAUACAAAACCCCAUGGACCACAUCUCCAUUUCAUACGAGCAGAUCUACAGUUGUGUGUACAAGUGUGUUUGUCAACAGCACUCUGAGCUACUGUACAAAGACUUGAUGCUGAAGAUUACUACCCAUCUUCGACAAGUCUCUUCUGAUCUUCAAAUUAGCCCACCAGGGAAUUUUAUUGAGAAUUUCAACAUUGCUCUGACUCGGUACACAGAUGCGCUUCAAUGCAUUGUUCCCGUAUUCAUCUACAUGAAUAAGUUCUACAUUGAAACGAAGCUAAACCGAGACCUGCGAGAAGAUCUCAUGAAGCUUUUCACCGAUCAUGUUGCAGAAAAACAUGUUAACACGUUAAUACCUCUUCUCCUCGAAGCCCAUUCCAUGCCUUUUCAAGUCAGACCUUCAACAAUGGCUAGUGUGGUCAAAGGCCUGUAUACGCUUUGGCCCGAUUGGGCACAUUUAGCCCCAGCUCUCUUCUCUGGAUUCAUUCCUCAAAUCAACCCGCCAACAGUGGAAUCCCAGCUGUCUGACUAUGCUGCUCGUGACCAGAAACUACAAAUGGAGCUAUCUCUGAAUGGUUUUCCCAGAGGUGACCAGUCUCGCAAGAGAGCCAGCGAGUAGUCUACAUAGAGUAAGGAGGAUGCAUACUAUUGCUUGCUAUUGACUUUAAAAAUAUGCUCUGACCGUUAGCGACCUGGUUCAACCCAAAUUGACAAAACACUGUGAAUGACGGAAGAUUCUCUGAUGCUGUGUGAAUUGGGUGAGCGUAAGCAUGGGCUCAUUUUUGACCCACGAGUUGUAGUGGACACGGUUUCUUUGCCUCUUCUGAAAAGCACAGUGAGUUCAUGAUGGUGCAUCAUUGUUCUUUCAGUUUUUGAUGUUAAAUGAAUCUUCAUUAUUGCUAAGAUACUAUGAGGUUUAAUGGGUUUGUUCUUAUUUUUCCAUUAAAGUGUGCCUUCUA
Salvelinus namaycush (lake trout) is the source of this 1592-nucleotide RNA transcript. It is a transcript of the gene named CDK2 associated cullin domain 1, with no coding region annotated. NCBI's taxonomy places the organism in Eukaryota, Metazoa, Chordata, Actinopteri, Salmoniformes, Salmonidae. The record is from RefSeq and is a predicted model, not a curated record. The transcript has 10 exons.